RNAcentral lists this ribosomal RNA (765 nucleotides) under uncultured bacterium. Its description in RNAcentral is "bacterial SSU rRNA". It matches the Rfam family "Bacterial small subunit ribosomal RNA", at positions 8 to 796 of the family's 1533-position model. The record is from RNAcentral.
AGAGUUUGAUCCUGGCUCAGAAUCAACGCUGGCGGCGGCCUAACACAUGCAAGUCGAACGGGAAAGUGGAGCAAUCCAUGAGUAUAGUGGCGCACGGGUGAGUAACACGUGACUAACCUGCCUUUCAGUGGGGGAUAACCUCGGGAAACCGGGGCUAAUACCGCAUAACAUCUUCGGGAUGAAAAGCUGAAGAUCAAAGGGGAAAUUCGCUGAAAGAGGGGGUCGCGGCUGAUUAGCUAGUUGGCGGGGUAACGGCCCACCAAGGCGAUGAUCGGUAGCCGGCCUGAGAGGGCGCACGGCCACACUGGAACUGAAACACGGUCCAGACUCCUACGGGAGGCAGCAGUGGGGAAUUUUGCGCAAUGGGGGAAACCCUGACGCAGCAACGCGCGUGGAGGAUGAAGUCCCUUGGGACGUAAACUCCUUUCGACCGGGACGAUAAUGACGGUACCGGUGGAAGAAGCCCCGGCUAACUUCGUGCCAGCAGCCGCGGUAAUACGAGGGGGGCGAGCGUUGUUCGGAAUUAUUGGGCGUAAAGGCGCGUAGGGGCNNGGUAAGUCACCUGUGAAACCUCCGGGCUUAACUCGGAGCCUGCAGGCGAAACUACCGUGCUUGAGUGUGGGAGAGGGNGUGGAAUUCCCGGUGUAGCGGUGAAAUGCUAGAUAUCGGGAGGAACACCUGUGGCGAAANNGGCNNACUGGACCACAACUGACGCUGAGGCGCGAAAGCUAGGGGAGCAAACAGGAUUAGAUACCCUAGUAGUCC